RNAcentral lists this ribosomal RNA (1392 nucleotides) under uncultured bacterium. RNAcentral describes it as "bacterial SSU rRNA". It matches the Rfam family "Bacterial small subunit ribosomal RNA". The record is from RNAcentral.
AGAGUUUGAUCCUGGCUCAGGAUGAACGCUGGCGGCGUGCAUAACACAUUCAAGUCGAACGGAGUUAUUUGGAUUAAUCCUUCGGGAAGCGUCCGGAUAACUUAGUGGCGGACGGGUGAGUAACGCGUGAGCAACCUGCCCCCGUGUGUGGAAUAACGUCUGGAAACGGACGCUAAUACCGCAUAACGCAUGGAGAUCGCAUGGUCACUAUGCCAAAGAUUUAUUGCACAGGGAUGGGCUCGCGUCCGAUUAGAUAGUUGGCGGGGUAACGGCCCACCAAGUCGACGAUCGGUAGCCGGACUGAGAGGUUGAACGGCCACAUUGGAACUGAGAAACGGUCCAGACUCCUACGGGAGGCAGCAGUGGGGAAUAUUGGGCAAUGGGCGAAAGCCUGACCCAGCGACGCCGCGUGAAGGAAGACGGUCUUCGGAUUGUAAACUUCUUUUAUAAGGGACGAAGCAUGACGGUACCUUAUGAAUAAGCCACGGCUAACUACGUGCCAGCAGCCGCGGUAAUACGUAGGUGGCGAGCGUUAUCCGGAUUUACUGGGUGUAAAGGGCGUGUAGGCGGAGAUGCAAGUUGGGAGUGAAAUCCCGGGGCUCAACCCCGGAACUGCUCUCAAAACUGUAUCCCUUGAGUAUCGGAGAGGCAAGCGGAAUUCCUAGUGUAGCGGUGAAAUGCGUAGAUAUUAGGAGGAACACCAGUGGCGAAGGCGGCUUGCUGGACGACAACUGACGCUGAGGCGCGAAAGCGUGGGGAGCAAACAGGAUUAGAUACCCUGGUAGUCCACGCUGUAAACGAUGAAUGCUAGGUGUAGGAGGUAUCGACCCCUUCUGUGCCGGAGUUAACACAAUAAGCAUUCCGCCUGGGGAGUACGGCCGCAAGGUUGAAACUCAAAGGAAUUGACGGGGGCCCGCACAAGCGGCGGAGCAUGCGGAUUAAUUCGAUGCAACGCGAAGAACCUUACCAAGGCUUGACAUGAACCGGAAAGACCUGGAAACAGGUCCCCCACUUGUGGCCGGUUUACAGGUGGUGCAUGGUUGUCGUCAGCUCGUGUCGUGAGAUGUUGGGUUAAGUCCCGCAACGAGCGCAACCCUCGUUCUAUGUUGCCAGCGGGUUAUGCCGGGGACUCAUAGGAGACUGCCGGGGUCAACUCGGAGGAAGGUGGGGACGACGUCAAAUCAUCAUGCCCCUUAUGUCUUGGGCUUCACGCAUGCUACAAUGGCCGGUACAAAGGGUUGCGAUACUGUGAGGUGGAGCUAAUCCCAAAAAGCCGGUCUCAGUUCGGAUUGAGGUCUGCAACUCGACCUCAUGAAGUUGGAGUCGCUAGUAAUCGCAGAUCAGCAACGCUGCGGUGAAUACGUUCCCGGGCCUUGCACACACCGCCCGUCA